This 493-nucleotide ribosomal RNA is filed under the name uncultured bacterium. RNAcentral's name for it is "partial 16S ribosomal RNA". It matches the Rfam family "Bacterial small subunit ribosomal RNA", at positions 28 to 507 of the family's 1533-position model. The record is from RNAcentral.
GACGAACGCUGGCGGCGUGCUUAACACAUGCAAGUCGAACGGUUAAGGGACCGGUUUUUGCUGGUUCUGGAUGAGUGGCGAACGGGUGAGUAACACGUGAGUAACCUGCCCCCUUCUUCUGGAUAACCGCAUGAAAGUGUGGCUAAUACGGGAUAUUCUGCGCCUGCUGCAUGGUGGGUGUGGGAAAGAUAUUGUUUCGGUGGGGGAUGGGCUCGCGGCCUAUCAGCUUGUUGGUGGGGUGAUGGCCUACCAAGGCGGUGACGGGUAGCCGGCCUGAGAGGGUGGACGGUCACACUGGGACUGAGACACGGCCCAGACUCCUACGGGAGGCAGCAGUGGGGAAUAUUGCACAAUGGGCGCAAGCCUGAUGCAGCGACGCCGCGUGAGGGAUGGAGGCCUUCGGGUUGUAAACCUCUUUCGCCAGUGAAGCAGGCCUGUCCCUUUUGUGGGUGGGUUGACGGUAGCUGGAUAAGAAGCGCCGGCUAACUACGUG